RNAcentral lists this ribosomal RNA (447 nucleotides) under uncultured bacterium. Its description in RNAcentral is "partial 16S ribosomal RNA". It matches the Rfam family "Bacterial small subunit ribosomal RNA", at positions 29 to 523 of the family's 1533-position model. The record is from RNAcentral.
AACGAACGCUGGCGGCAGGCUUAACACAUGCAAGUCGAGCGCGUCGCAAUACGAGCGGCAGACGGGUGAGUAACACGUGGGAAUCUACCCAUCACUAGGGAAUAACUCAGGGAAACUUGUGCUAAUACCCUAUACGACCGAGAGGGGAAAGAUUUAUCGGUGAUGGAUGAGCCCGCGUUGGAUUAGCUAGGUGGUGGGGUAAAGGCCUACCAAGGCGACGAUCCAUAGCUGGUCUGAGAGGAUGAUCAGCCACACUGGGACUGAGACACGGCCCAGACUCCUACGGGAGGCAGCAGUGGGGAAUAUUGGACAAUGGGCGCAAGCCUGAUCCAGCCAUGCCGCGUGAGUGAUGAAGGUCUUAGGAUUGUAAAGCUCUUUCACCGGUGAAGAUAAUGACGGUAACCGGAGAAGAAGCCCCGGCUAACUUCGUGCCAGCCGCCGCUGUAA